AUAAUUUUGAAAUGAUGAUCAAGCAAAUGAGAUUUGAAGAUACUGGCCAAGUUAUUGAUGCACAUUCCAAAGUCAAUCACAUCAAUAUUGUAACUUUGCUUGGUGUGUGUUAUGGAGACAAUGAUUCCUCUUGGUCUUACCUUGUGUUUGAGUUACCUAGCAAGGGCUCCUUGAGGGAUUGCUUAGCUAAUUCAUCUAGUUCUCUACAAUGGCAUAGGCGAACACAAAUAGCUUUUGAUAUUGCUACAGGUCUUCACUAUCUACAUUACUGCAUUUUUCCUUCAUGUGCUCACAUGGGUGUCAGCAG
This 307-nucleotide unclassified non-coding RNA is filed under the name Hevea brasiliensis (rubber tree). Lineage: Eukaryota; Viridiplantae; Streptophyta; Magnoliopsida; Malpighiales; Euphorbiaceae. The record is from RNAcentral.